RNAcentral lists this ribosomal RNA (313 nucleotides) under uncultured bacterium. RNAcentral describes it as "bacterial SSU rRNA". It matches the Rfam family "Bacterial small subunit ribosomal RNA", at positions 28 to 334 of the family's 1533-position model. The record is from RNAcentral.
GACGAACGCUGGCGGCGCGCCUAACACAUGCAAGUCGAACGAAGAAAGCGAUAGUUUACUAGAGCUUUCUUAGUGGCGGACGGGUGAGUAACACGUGAAGAACCUGCCUUACAGAGGGGGACAACAGUUGGAAACGACUGCUAAUACCGCAUAUGCCAUAAUUACCACAUGGUAAUAGUGGGAAAGGAGCAAUCCGCUAAUAGAUGAGCUUGCGUCUGAUUAGUUAGUUGGUGGGGUAACGGCCUACCAAGACGACGAUCAGUAGCCGGACUGAGAGGUUGAACGGCCACAUUGGGACUGAGAUACGGCCCAG